This 465-nucleotide ribosomal RNA is filed under the name Vreelandella stevensii. RNAcentral's name for it is "partial 16S ribosomal RNA". It matches the Rfam family "Bacterial small subunit ribosomal RNA", at positions 338 to 795 of the family's 1533-position model. Lineage: Bacteria; Pseudomonadati; Pseudomonadota; Gammaproteobacteria; Oceanospirillales; Halomonadaceae. The record is from RNAcentral.
CCUACGGGUGGCAGCAGUGGGGAAUAUUGGACAAUGGGGGCAACCCUGAUCCAGCCAUGCCGCGUGUGUGAAGAAGGCCCUCGGGUUGUAAAGCACUUUCAGUGAGGAAGAACGCCUGGUGGUUAAUACCCAUCAGGAAAGACAUCACUCACAGAAGAAGCACCGGCUAACUCCGUGCCAGCAGCCGCGGUAAUACGGAGGGUGCGAGCGUUAAUCGGAAUUACUGGGCGUAAAGCGCGCGUAGGUGGCUUGAUAAGCCGGUUGUGAAAGCCCCGGGCUCAACCUGGGAACGGCAUCCGGAACUGUCAAGCUAGAGUGCAGGAGAGGAAGGUAGAAUUCCCGGUGUAGCGGUGAAAUUCGUAGAGAUCGGGAGGAAUACCAGUGGCGAAGGCGGCCUUCUGGACUGACACUGACACUGAGGUGCGAAAGCGUGGGUAGCAAACAGGAUUAGAUACCCCGGUAGUC